This 1163-nucleotide long non-coding RNA is filed under the name Mus musculus (house mouse). RNAcentral's name for it is "predicted gene 14461". The record is from RNAcentral. Lineage: Eukaryota; Metazoa; Chordata; Mammalia; Rodentia; Muridae.
ACUCAAACCAGCUGUAUUAAGGAAGGUGCAAGCUUUUGGGAUUUCUGUUUGGAUUUAGUUUAGGUUCAAAAGAGCACGCACAGAUCCUGAGUGUUGUCAAGCACCCGUGACUGGGAAACGGAGGCGUCCGAUCCGUAUUGGAGUCAAUUCGCCACUUAAUUGGGACACUGACGCUAGAGAGGAAGCAGUGCUUUGAGUUUGCCAUUCUGGCAAUGUCCAAAUGUGGAAGACUGGAUAACAGGGAAGCAGUUGAUUGAGAAUAAUGGUUCUGUUUUGGAGGUUGAUGGAAGAUGCCCUUUGGCCAGGAAAACAGCUCAUGCUUUUAGAGGAGGAUAAUUGCCAGAAGGCCUCUCUGAAUAAAAAAAAAUCCUGACCUCACAGCCUUUGCGCUUACUUGGGUUAGAAUGCCACAGUGAACAUUGCCCCUUGUCAUCACGUAGAGGUGCUCACAGGUAAAGCAACACAAGGAGCAUAUAGGAUCACCUGCUGGAUCUUGUUUUUAACACCAGGGAGGAAAAUGGUGUCUUGGGUAAUGAACAUGCCUCAAGACUGAGCUGGCCAUCUUCAGUGUCAUCCAAACCCUCAGUGGCCCCUGAAAAACCCUUUGAAAAGAUUCAGCACGUUGCCAUGGAGAACAUCCCACUGAAGGAAUGUAUAGAAGUAGCAGGUGUCAGCUGCCUACCAGUUGCUUUCAUCUCUAGAAAUCUGUGACUUGCAGUAUGACAAGAACAAAAGGUGACAAUACAAAGGACAAAGGGCAAGGAAUACAGACGGAGAAGCCGCUUAGAGUCUAGGAUGGCAGAGGUUCUCUUGAUCAUUUCAUUUUUGAGCGCUUGUAGAGCUUUGGUGUACCAGAGGUGCUUGAACAGCUUACCACACCACAGAUGAAUGGCCUUUGGAUUUCUCCUAAGAAAAUGUGGCUACCUGAAAUUCAACUCCAUUUUCUGGUCUUCAAUAUUUCUUUUGUGUUCAGUUUGCCAGCUGAGGAGAAGUGGCUAAGCAUAGCCUGUUACUGAUGCUAAAGCCCAAGUUCUGAACCUAACAACUCCAGCAACAUGAUCCUGUUUCAAGAGACAAAAAAGUGACUAAUGAAAGAAAACAAUUGAUGUGCUAUGUAGAGUUUAAAAGAAGGUAAAGAGAAUAAAUUAAAAGCAACAACUCUC